AGGCCAUGAUGGGGACACUUGCGUAAUAGCUCCUUGAACCUUUCCCAUGUUUCAUAUAAGGAUUCCCCAUCCUCUUGUGAGUAUGUAUUAAUUUCAGCCAUUAAUUU
Molecule: small nucleolar RNA, 107 nt
Filed under: Helianthus annuus (common sunflower)
Lineage: Eukaryota; Viridiplantae; Streptophyta; Magnoliopsida; Asterales; Asteraceae
Description: sRNA HanXRQr2_Chr16g0741521
Rfam family: Plant small nucleolar RNA R71
About the family: R71 is a member of the C/D box family of snoRNAs containing the C (UGAUGA) and D (CUGA) box motifs. Multiple nearly identical copies of this snoRNA have been identified in Arabidopsis, and it is thought to function as a 2'-O-ribose methylation guide for 18S ribosomal RNA.
Source: Rfam by way of RNAcentral